GAUGAACGCUGGCGGCGUGCUUAACACAUGCAAGUCGAACGGAAAGGCCCUGCUUUUGUGGGGUGCUCGAGUGGCGAACGGGUGAGUAACACGUGAGUAACCUGCCCUUGACUUUGGGAUAACUUCAGGAAACUGGGGCUAAUACCGGAUAGGAGCUCCUGCUGCAUGGUGGGGGUUGGAAAGUUUCGGCGGUUGGGGAUGGACUCGCGGCUUAUCAGCUUGUUGGUGGGGUAGUGGCUUACCAAGGCUUUGACGGGUAGCCGGCCUGAGAGGGUGACCGGCCACAUUGGGACUGAGAUACGGCCCAGACUCCUACGGGAGGCAGCAGUGGGGAAUAUUGCACAAUGGGCGGAAGCCUGAGGCAGCAACGCCGCGUGCGGGAUGACGGCCUUCGGGUUGUAAACCGCUUUCGCCUGUGACGAAGCGUGAGUGACGGUAAUGGGUAAAGAAGCACCGGCUAACUACGUG
RNAcentral lists this ribosomal RNA (468 nucleotides) under uncultured bacterium. Its description in RNAcentral is "partial 16S ribosomal RNA". It matches the Rfam family "Bacterial small subunit ribosomal RNA", at positions 28 to 507 of the family's 1533-position model. The record is from RNAcentral.